Molecule: long non-coding RNA, 183 nt
Organism: Acanthopagrus latus (yellowfin seabream)
Lineage: Eukaryota; Metazoa; Chordata; Actinopteri; Spariformes; Sparidae
Exons: 3
Source: RefSeq, a predicted model, not a curated record
ACAAUUGUCAGGUGCAUUUGGAGGCAAUAGGGAAGUACUCCAACGCUUUCAAUCAGGAAGUAGAAACAGACUCCACGGCCGUCACCCUCAUCAUCGAGGAACUCAGAAAAAAACACCCGGACCUGAAACCAGUGAAUCCAGUUCCUGCCUGGAAUGUUGCUGCUCCUAACCAGAACAGGAGAC